Molecule: ribosomal RNA, 707 nt
Filed under: uncultured bacterium
Lineage: Bacteria
Description: bacterial SSU rRNA
Rfam family: Bacterial small subunit ribosomal RNA
Source: RNAcentral
UAACACAUGCAAGUCGAGCGGAAACGAAGGUAGCUUGCUACCAGGCGUCGAGCGGCGGACGGGUGAGUAAUGCUUAGGAAUCUACCGAGUAGUGGGGGAUAGCCAUUGGAAACGAUGAUUAAUACCGCAUAUAUCCUACGGGGGAAAGCAGGGGACCUUCGGGCCUUGCGCUAUUCGAUGAGCCUGAGUGAGAUUAGCUAGUUGGUGGGGUAAAGGCCUACCAAGGCGACGAUCUCUAGCUGGUCUGAGAGGAUGAUCAGCCACACUGGGACUGAGACACGGCCCAGACUCCUACGGGAGGCAGCAGUGGGGAAUAUUGCACAAUGGACGAAAGUCUGAUGCAGCCAUGCCGCGUGUGUGAAGAAGGCCUUCGGGUUGUAAAGCACUUUCAGCGAGGAGGAAAGGUCAGUAAGUAAUAUUUGCUGGCUGUGACGUUACUCGCAGAAGAAGCACCGGCUAAUUUAGUGCCAGCAGCCGCGGUAAUACUAAAGGUGCAAGCGUUAAUCGGAAUUACUGGGCGUAAAGCGCGCGUAGGUGGUUUGUUAAGUUGGAUGUGAAAGCCCAGGGCUCAACCUUGGAACUGCAUUCAAAACUGACUCACUAGAGUACGAGAGAGGUUAGUGGAAUUUCCUGUGUAGCGGUGAAAUGCGUAGAGAUGGGAAGGAACACCAGUGGCGAAGGCGACUGACUGGCUCGAUACUGACACU